RNAcentral lists this ribosomal RNA (936 nucleotides) under Syntrophaceae bacterium enrichment culture clone L35B_51. RNAcentral describes it as "bacterial SSU rRNA". It matches the Rfam family "Bacterial small subunit ribosomal RNA", at positions 8 to 916 of the family's 1533-position model. The record is from RNAcentral. Lineage: Bacteria; Pseudomonadati; Thermodesulfobacteriota; Syntrophia; Syntrophales; Syntrophaceae.
AGAGUUUGAUCAUGGCUCAGAACAAACGCUGGCGGCGUGCUUAACACAUGCAAGUCGUACGAGAAAGUCCGCUUCGGCGGAUGAGUAAAGUGGCGCACGGGUGCGUAACACGUGGGUAAUCUGCCCUUCAGUGGGGAAUAACUCGCCGAAAGGCGGGCUAAUACCGCAUAAUACCGUUUCCACCCCGGUGGGGACGGUCAAAGGCAGCCUCUGUUUACAAGCUGUCGCUGAAGGAUGAGCCCGCGGCCUAUCAGCUAGUUGGUGGGGUAACGGCUCACCAAGGCUGUGACGGGUAGCUGGUCUGAGAGGAUGGCCAGCCACACUGGAACUGAGACACGGUCCAGACUCCUACGGGAGGCAGCAGUGGGGAAUCUUGGGCAAUGGGGGCAACCCUGACCCAGCGACGCCGCGUGAGUGAGGAAGGUCUUCGGAUCGUAAAGCUCUGUCGGAUGGGAAGAAAUGUGUGGGAGUGAACAGCUUUCAUGCUUGACGGUACCAUCAGAGGAAGCACCGGCUAACUCCGUGCCAGCAGCCGCGGUAAUACGGGGGGUGCAAGCGUUGUUCGGAAUCAUUGGGCGUAAAGGGCGUGUAGGCGGCUGGAUAAGUCAGAUGUGAAAUCCCUGGGCUUAACCCAGGAAGUGCAUUUGAAACUGUCCGGCUUGAGUGAGGGAGAGGAAAGUGGAAUUCCUGGUGUAGAGGUGAAAUUCGUAGAUAUCAGGAGGAACACCGGUGGCGAAGGCGACUUUCUGGCCCUAUACUGACGCUGAGACGCGAAAGCGUGGGGAGCGAACAGGAUUAGAUACCCUGGUAGUCCACGCUGUAAACGAUGUUCACUAGGUGUUGGGGGUAUUGACCCCCUCAGUGCCGUAGCUAACGCAUUAAGUGAACCGCCUGGGGAGUACGGGUCGCAAGACUAAAACUCAAAUGAAUUGACGG